This 383-nucleotide ribosomal RNA is filed under the name uncultured organism. Its description in RNAcentral is "bacterial SSU rRNA". It matches the Rfam family "Bacterial small subunit ribosomal RNA", at positions 367 to 762 of the family's 1533-position model. The record is from RNAcentral.
CGCAAUGGGCGAAAGCCUGACGGAGCGACGCCGCGUGAUUGAUGAAGUCCCUUUGGGACGUAAAGAUCUUUUGUAGGGGAAGAAGUUUAUUGACUGUACCCUAAAAAUAAAAGGCUCCUAAUCUCGUGCCAGCAGGAGCGGUAAUACGAGAGCCUCGAGCGUUAUCCGGAAUUAUUGGGCGUAAAGGGUGUGUAGGUUGUUCUAUUAGUCUUUUGUUAAAUCCUUGAGCUUAACUUAAAAAUCGCAAAAGAUACGGUAAAACUAGAAAGUGCGAGAGGUGUACGGAACUUAUGGUGUAGGGGUAAAAUCCGUUGAUAUCAUAGGGAACACCAAAAGCGAAAGCAGUACACUGGCGCAGGUUUGACACUGAAACACGAAAGCGU